This is a transfer RNA of Astyanax mexicanus (Mexican tetra), 73 nucleotides long. It matches the Rfam family "tRNA". Rfam says of the family: Transfer RNA (tRNA) molecules are approximately 80 nucleotides in length. The record is from Rfam. Lineage: Eukaryota; Metazoa; Chordata; Actinopteri; Characiformes; Acestrorhamphidae.
GGCUCUAUAGCUCAGUGGUUAGAGUGCUGGUCUUGUAAACCAGAGGUCGUGAGUUCAAUCCUCGCUGGAGCCU